GAGCGGAGAAAAGAAAGAAGAAGAGGAAGCGUGAUGAAACUCAGGCGUCGCUUGCCGGGUCAAUGCUUAAAUAUGUUCAAGGAGGAUCUCAAGGACAGGAUGAACCAUCCAGUAGUAGUGCCAUCCCUGGACAUCAACCACCAGCCAUUGUAGACCCUGCAACAAUCCCUAGCCAAGAAGAACAAGAACCAUCAACCACCAGUUCAGGAGAGGUUUGAGACCAUGAAUCAAGUGAAGGAGAAAUAUGGAGUGCUGCUUGAUUUCAGCAAAGUGAAUGGGAUGUCCAAGGAGGAUUUAAAAAAACACUGCACUGAAGUACAGAAGACACUGACAGAUAAGGGAGUAGCUGACAUUGAUGGACCUGAGAUGAUGCAGGAAAUCAUCAACCUUCCUCAGCUGCCACCACAGACGUCUGCUUUGGAAAUGCUGUCAUUU
Long non-coding RNA from Oreochromis aureus, 435 nucleotides. The record is from Ensembl. NCBI's taxonomy places the organism in Eukaryota, Metazoa, Chordata, Actinopteri, Cichliformes, Cichlidae.